RNAcentral lists this ribosomal RNA (387 nucleotides) under uncultured prokaryote. Its description in RNAcentral is "partial 16S ribosomal RNA". The record is from RNAcentral.
CCCUACGGGGUGCAGCAGGGCGGAAGAGAGUCCGGUUUGGAUCCAAAGGUCGCGCUGGCCAUGAUCGGCCAGGUGAAGAACCGGGGUCUGCCGCUGUCCGCCAUCGCGGAUGAGUUGGCGGCCGAGGUGGCCCAAUGCUAUGCGGACGAGCUGAAGACCCUGAACGCGGUCGAUUUCGAUGAUCUGCUCGGGCUUACGGUGACCCUGCUGGAGCGGAAUCCCGAUGUGCGGGCCUAUUGGCAGCACCGAUACCGCUACAUCAUGGUGGAUGAGUUUCAGGAUACCAACAGCUUGCAGAUGGCCGUUCUGAAAAACCUGGCUGGAUCGCAGCAAAACGUGGGUGUGGUGGGAGACGACGAUCAGAGCAUUUACGGCUGGCGGGGGGGC